Molecule: ribosomal RNA, 381 nt
Filed under: uncultured bacterium
Lineage: Bacteria
Description: partial 16S ribosomal RNA
Rfam family: Bacterial small subunit ribosomal RNA
Source: RNAcentral
CCUACGGGUUGUAACCUUCUUUUGUCUGGGAGCAUUUGGGUCCACGCGUGGGCUUAGCGCGAGUUUCUGAAGAACAAGCAUCUGCUAUCUACGUGCCAGCAGCCGCGGUAAUACGGAGGAUGCGAGCGUUAUCCGGAUUUAUGGGGCUUCGAGGGUGCGUAGGCGGAAUAUCACGUCAGCUGAAAAAAUUCGGGGCUCAACCCCGUCGUGCCGUUAAAACUGAUGUUCAUGAGUGGCGUGAAGUAUGCGGAAUGCGUGGUGUAGCGGUGAAAUGCAUAGAUAUCACGCAGAACUCCGAUUGCGAAGGCAGCAUACCAGCGCCCAACUGACGCUGAAGCACGAAAGCGUGGGUAUCGAACAGGAUUAGAUACCCGAGUAGUC